UACGGAGGAUGCGAGCGUUAUCCGGAUUUAUUGGGUUUAAAGGGUGCGCAGGCGGACUGUUAAGUCAGCGGUAAAAUGUCGGGGCUCAACCCCGUCGUGCCGUUGAAACUGAUGUUCUUGAGUGGGCGAGAAGUAUGCGGAAUGCGUGGUGUAGCGGUGAAAUGCAUAGAUAUCACGCAGAACUCCGAUUGCGAAGGCAGCAUACCGGCGCCCAACUGACGCUGAAGCACGAAAGUGUGGGGAGCAAACAGG
Molecule: ribosomal RNA, 252 nt
Filed under: uncultured Bacteroidales bacterium
Lineage: Bacteria; Pseudomonadati; Bacteroidota; Bacteroidia; Bacteroidales
Description: partial 16S ribosomal RNA
Rfam family: Bacterial small subunit ribosomal RNA
Source: RNAcentral